This 497-nucleotide transfer RNA is filed under the name Caldora penicillata BCBC11-25. RNAcentral describes it as "partial 16S-23S ribosomal RNA intergenic spacer". The stretch from base 133 to 206 matches the Rfam family "tRNA". Lineage: Bacteria; Bacillati; Cyanobacteriota; Cyanophyceae; Coleofasciculales; Coleofasciculaceae. The record is from RNAcentral.
UUAAGGGAGACUAAGGCACAUACCGAGUAAACUCAUGUAAAAGCUUGGAUGGUUAGCCUAAUCCCAAGGUCGUAACGAGUGAUGGUAGCAAAAGUUUCAAACUAUUGGAUAGGUUCGUAGUAAAAAAAUCAAGGGCUAUUAGCUCAGGUGGUUAGAGCGCACCCCUGAUAAGGGUGAGGUCCCUGGUUCAAGUCCAGGAUGGCCCACCAGAUAAUUAUCCAAAUGGGAGAAAGACAACAGCACCUGUACCAACUUGAAAAAGAGGUGGUAGGGAUGCUGGAGCUUCACUCCAGUAAAUGAACCUUGAAAACUGCAUAGCCAGAUGUCUGCCCAGCAGGUGAGUAUCUUGAAAGACGAUUUGUAGGGGCGGGUUUAGGGUCACAGUUAACGGCUUUGACGAUAACUUUGAGACAAAACCCGCCCAGCAUAAUUAACCGAAAGAACUGACUGCAUUGGAAAGAAAAGAAAAAUUGGUCAAGCUAACAAGAGCUAAUGGU